Molecule: long non-coding RNA, 589 nt
Organism: Ostrinia nubilalis (European corn borer)
Lineage: Eukaryota; Metazoa; Arthropoda; Insecta; Lepidoptera; Crambidae
Exons: 2
Source: RefSeq, a predicted model, not a curated record
UCCUUGUUGUGACAGCUUGGUUUUUCAUUUUGGCACUCGACGCGCGAUGUGAAAUUCCCUUUCUUCAAGAAAAUAUUAAACUAAAAUACUUUGGGAAGCCCCUCUAAUAUAAAAAUGACAGACACAACGCUCUUAUUCUAAAUUAAGCAGUAAUAAACUAUGGAUGGGCUUAAACAAGAAAUUGGUACAAUAACUGUGGUGGACGACGAAACUAUUGAAGAUCGGUACAAAAGAUGCGGGCUUCUGAACGUGAUACAGCAUAUAGAUAUUUACGGAAAGUUCCGGUCCAGUUAUGUGGAGCAAACUAAAUCGAGAGUACAAGGCAACGACACCCCCUUGGCUAUCACAUCAAUAUCGGCAUCUUCUGGGCGAUUCUCAAACUUGAGCGACGCUUACAGUGACGUCACCAGACCCAAAAGCGUCAGUACGAAGCUCAGUAAGUUCUCUGUCACGACUCGAGUGUCUGGUUUGUACCCUGGACACGAUAUAUUGUCCAGGAGGGCCAGGAAAUGCAGGCUUUCGGACAAAAAGAACAAUGUAUGUUUCGGUGCUUAUGUUUCUAGGUGAUAAAUAAAUGUAAUCGAUGCGA